GAUGAACGCUGGCGGCGUGCCUAAUACAUGCCAGUCGAGCGAACAGACGAGGAGCUUGCUCCUCUGACGUUAGCGGCGGACGGGUGAGUAACACGUGGAUAACCUACCUAUAAGACUGGGAUAACUUCGGGAAACCGGAGCUAAUACCGGAUAAUAUAUUGAACCGCAUGGUUCAAUAGUGAAAGACGGUUUUGCUGUCACUUAUAGAUGGAUCCGCGCCGCAUUAGCUAGUUGGUAAGGUAACGGCUUACCAAGGCGACGAUGCGUAGCCGACCUGAGAGGGUGAUCGGCCACACUGGAACUGAGACACGGUCCAGACUCCUACGGGAGGCAGCAGUAGGGAAUCUUCCGCAAUGGGCGAAAGCCUGACGGAGCAACGCCGCGUGAGUGAUGAAGGUCUUCGGAUCGUAAAACUCUGUUAUUAGGGAAGAACAAACGUGUAAGUAACUAUGCACGUCUUGACGGUACCUAAUCAGAAAGCCACGGCUAACUACGUG
This 497-nucleotide ribosomal RNA is filed under the name uncultured bacterium. RNAcentral's name for it is "partial 16S ribosomal RNA". It matches the Rfam family "Bacterial small subunit ribosomal RNA", at positions 28 to 507 of the family's 1533-position model. The record is from RNAcentral.